UGUUUCUUCUCCCCACCCACCGCUUGUGGUGCGGGAACCAGGGACUUAUCAAGACAAAGAACAAAAGUCGUGGGGGAAAGAAGCCAAGAGCCAUCUCCACUCUGGGGUAGGGCCCUUCAGUUUUGCCCCUUUGAAAUUUCAAAUUCCAGUUUGUGGACAAAGUCCUAAGUUUCUCACAAUAUAGGUCCCCAACCACUGACCAAACUCCAGUCCAGGCAGCCAGCAGGCCCAGGGCUGCUUCCUUUGGCAGCUCCCAAGGUCUGGGAGGAAGAGGUCCUGCCCCAGGGGGUCUGUCAGGCCAUUCCUGCAGCUCCAUCCCACCCCACAGGGACCCUUGCCUCGCACUUGAGAGGAGCCCUCUUCCUGGAGCUGGGAUCUGAUGCUUGUUGGCACCGACAGCAGAUACCAGGCAUCAGGCCAUAGAGAAAGAUGCAGAGCCCUACGCUGACAAUCCCUCUGUGCCUCCGUUUUCUCACCUGCACAUGGCAGGAUUACACUUUCUUGCCUCCUUGUGACCAUGUGACUUGUUUUGGCCAAUGAAAUGUGAACAGAGGCCAGCUGUGUCACACCUGAGCAGAAGGUUUAAGAGCCAGUACUUAGGUUGCUGUGGAAGCACAUACAGAUAUGGAGUCACCAGGAAGAGAAGAGCCCCCUGCCAGCCCAUGCCAGAUAUAAAAGUGGCUGAGAUUGUCAGAUGUUUGGAGGCAACACAGUAUAGAGGUGAGAGCACAAAUUCUGGAACCUGACUUUCUGGGCUUGAAUUCUGGUUCUGCCAUGGACUAGCUCUGUGACCUUGGCCCCAGAAGACAAACCAGGACCAACAAAUGGAUGCUACAAGAAUUUACUAGGUCCCAGGUUCUGUGCUGAAUAUAUGACACCAUGAAGAAGAUGCUGUUUAUGAUGAUGCCAGAUUUAGACAGGGGAAGACCAGGCUCAGAAAGGUGGAGUAAAUUGCCUAAGAUGACACUGCGGGGCUUGAACCCAAGUCUGUGUUUGAUACAAGACUCUAGAUGGCCCCCACUGGCUCCACUCCCUACCACCUCACCACACUGAAGAACCAGCCUGGAGGCCAAGGCAUCUGGUGGUUUUCAAGGUGAGGCUCCUCCAAAGGGCCUGGGGCUAUGGGGUGGACAGCAUCCUGCACCUCCACACUCCCCCCUCCCCCCACCUCCAUUGUUUCAUUCCUGUGAACUGGCUUCCGGUGAGAUUUUGUUUGAAGAAAGAAUGCCACUUUCAUUUUACUUUUAACACAAUGCAGACGGAUCACGGAUCACGAGAA
Long non-coding RNA from Myotis brandtii (Brandt's bat), 1279 nucleotides. RefSeq lists it as uncharacterized. NCBI's taxonomy places the organism in Eukaryota, Metazoa, Chordata, Mammalia, Chiroptera, Vespertilionidae. The record is from RefSeq and is a predicted model, not a curated record. The transcript is spliced from 6 exons.